Molecule: ribosomal RNA, 458 nt
Filed under: Blastocystis sp.
Lineage: Eukaryota; Bigyra; Opalinata; Blastocystidae
Description: partial small subunit ribosomal RNA
Rfam family: Bacterial small subunit ribosomal RNA
Source: RNAcentral
GACGAAAGCAUGGGUAGCAAACAGGAUUUGGUACCCUGGUAGUCCAUGCUAUAAACAAUGAAUAUUAAAUGUUUAAAUAAAUAGAAAUACAAAAUUUAACAUAAAAAGUUAACACGUUAAAUAUUUCGCCUGGGGAGUAAAACCGCAAGGUUGAAACUCAAAGGAAUUGACGGGAGCUUAUACUUACGGUGGAGCAUGUGGUUUAAUCCGAUAGUCCGCGUGGAAUCUUACCAAUUUUUGACAGUCCUAAGUUAUACCUAGGAAACAGGUGUUGCAUGGCCGUCGUCAGCUUAUGUUUUGAAAUUUAAGAUAUAAGUACAACCCUUACUUUAAUUUACUAAUAUUCAAAAAAAUUAAAAAUAUUUAAUUAUAUUGAAUAAGUACUAUUAAAUUUGAAAUAUGUAAAUAUUUUAAAGGAUGAAGAUAGGUCGUUAUGACCCUUAUAAAUUGGGCUACAA